This is a non-coding RNA of Paramuricea clavata, 411 nucleotides long. The record is from the annotation of a GenBank genome assembly. NCBI's taxonomy places the organism in Eukaryota, Metazoa, Cnidaria, Anthozoa, Malacalcyonacea, Plexauridae.
GCUGCACCGGAAUCGCAAGGCCGUAGGUUCAAUUCCUACCAGAGGACCUUGUGCUGCAUUUUUCGCAGUCGUUCCUGGUUAGGUCUUAAAAUGUAUAUAUUCUCACUUGGAUUACAAACCCUAACAUUCUAAUAUUAAUUCCACCAAGUGAAAUGCAAGAAUCCAAAUUAUUGAAGUCCACCUUAUCACAACCCGCACACCUGAUUACCUAUAUAUACAUGAACUUACGGUUACAGCUUAACGGCUGGCCUCUGUAGCUCAGUUGGUUAGAGCGCUGCACCGGAAUCGCAGGGCCGUAGGUUUGAUUCCUACCAGAGGACCUUGUGCUGCAUUUUUCGCAGUCGUUCCUGGUUAGGUCUUAAAAUGUAUAUAUUCUCACUUGGAUUCCAAACCCUAACAUUCUAAUAUUAA